AUGUUAGAACAUUUCUGUGAAUGCUAUUUCGAUCUAAGUGGUCCUAUUCUCUGUCCCGUGCUAGGAAGCAUUACUCCUCUUUUCAUUCCAAAUUCUUCAAUAAGACCGAUACGAUUGAUUGGUCUGUGCGUUUCUCUUAUUACUUUUUUGUACCCCCCUGUUCCUCGGAUACAAUUCGAUCUUUCUAUGGCCAAAUCUCAAUUUGUGGAAGGACUUCGAUGGCUUCCUUAUGAAAACAUCCAUUUGUAUAUGGGUAUAGACAGUCUUUCAUUAUUCUUCGUAAUAUUGACCACAUUUCUGAUACCUAUUUUCAUUUCAGUGGGUUGGUCUGGUAUGAGAUGUUUUGGGAAAGAGUAUAUUACAGCAUUUCUAAUUCGUGAAUUUCUAAUGAUCGCUGUGUCCUGCAUGCUGGAUCCUCUACUAUUCUAUGUUCUUUCCGAAAGCGUGCCAAUCCCUAUGUUGUGCGGAGCUGAGCAUCUUCUAUUCGCUGGGAUCAAGCUUUUCCUCUGCAGAGGCCUUCUGUAG
Molecule: ribosomal RNA, 525 nt
Filed under: Triticum aestivum (bread wheat)
Lineage: Eukaryota; Viridiplantae; Streptophyta; Magnoliopsida; Poales; Poaceae
Description: partial small subunit ribosomal RNA
Source: RNAcentral